This 1476-nucleotide ribosomal RNA is filed under the name Enterococcus durans. Its description in RNAcentral is "bacterial SSU rRNA". It matches the Rfam family "Bacterial small subunit ribosomal RNA". Lineage: Bacteria; Bacillati; Bacillota; Bacilli; Lactobacillales; Enterococcaceae. The record is from RNAcentral.
AACGCUGGCGGCGUGCCUAAUACAUGCAAGUCGUACGCUUCUUUUUCCACCGGAGCUUGCUCCACCGGAAAAAGAAGAGUGGCGAACGGGUGAGUAACACGUGGGUAACCUACCCAUCAGAAGGGGAUAACACUUGGAAACAGGUGCUAAUACCGUAUAACAAUCGAAACCGCAUGGUUUUGAUUUGAAAGGCGCUUUCGGGUGUCGCUGAUGGAUGGACCCGCGGUGCAUUAGCUAGUUGGUGAGGUAACGGCUCACCAAGGCUACGAUGCAUAGCCGACCUGAGAGGGUGAUCGGCCACAUUGGGACUGAGACACGGCCCAAACUCCUACGGGAGGCAGCAGUAGGGAAUCUUCGGCAAUGGACGAAAGUCUGACCGAGCAACGCCGCGUGAGUGAAGAAGGUUUUCGGAUCGUAAAACUCUGUUGUUAGAGAAGAACAAGGAUGAGAGUAACUGUUCAUCCCUUGACGGUAUCUAACCAGAAAGCCACGGCUAACUACGUGCCAGCAGCCGCGGUAAUACGUAGGUGGCAAGCGUUGUCCGGAUUUAUUGGGCGUAAAGCGAGCGCAGGCGGUUUCUUAAGUCUGAUGUGAAAGCCCCCGGCUCAACCGGGGAGGGUCAUUGGAAACUGGGAGACUUGAGUGCAGAAGAGGAGAGUGGAAUUCCAUGUGUAGCGGUGAAAUGCGUAGAUAUAUGGAGGAACACCAGUGGCGAAGGCGGCUCUCUGGUCUGUAACUGACGCUGAGGCUCGAAAGCGUGGGGAGCAAACAGGAUUAGAUACCCUGGUAGUCCACGCCGUAAACGAUGAGUGCUAAGUGUUGGAGGGUUUCCGCCCUUCAGUGCUGCAGCUAACGCAUUAAGCACUCCGCCUGGGGAGUACGACCGCAAGGUUGAAACUCAAAGGAAUUGACGGGGGCCCGCACAAGCGGUGGAGCAUGUGGUUUAAUUCGAAGCAACGCGAAGAACCUUACCAGGUCUUGACAUCCUUUGACCACUCUAGAGAUAGAGCUUCCCCUUCGGGGGCAAAGUGACAGGUGGUGCAUGGUUGUCGUCAGCUCGUGUCGUGAGAUGUUGGGUUAAGUCCCGCAACGAGCGCAACCCUUAUUGUUAGUUGCCAUCAUUUAGUUGGGCACUCUAGCAAGACUGCCGGUGACAAACCGGAGGAAGGUGGGGAUGACGUCAAAUCAUCAUGCCCCUUAUGACCUGGGCUACACACGUGCUACAAUGGGAAGUACAACGAGUCGCGAAGUCGCGAGGCUAAGCUAAUCUCUUAAAGCUUCUCUCAGUUCGGAUUGUAGGCUGCAACUCGCCUACAUGAAGCCGGAAUCGCUAGUAAUCGCGGAUCAGCACGCCGCGGUGAAUACGUUCCCGGGCCUUGUACACACCGCCCGUCACACCACGAGAGUUUGUAACACCCGAAGUCGGUGAGGUAACCUUUUGGAGCCAGCCGCCUAAGGUGGGAUAGAUGAUUGGGG